ACUUGUCUAGCUCAGUUGGUAGAUCAUAAGGUUUUUAACCAUGUGGUCGUGGGUUCAAGCCUCAUAAUGGGUA
Molecule: transfer RNA, 73 nt
Filed under: Zea mays
Lineage: Eukaryota; Viridiplantae; Streptophyta; Magnoliopsida; Poales; Poaceae
Rfam family: tRNA
About the family: Transfer RNA (tRNA) molecules are approximately 80 nucleotides in length. Their secondary structure includes four short double-helical elements and three loops (D, anti-codon, and T loops).
Source: Rfam by way of RNAcentral